RNAcentral lists this ribosomal RNA (305 nucleotides) under uncultured bacterium. RNAcentral describes it as "bacterial SSU rRNA". It matches the Rfam family "Bacterial small subunit ribosomal RNA", at positions 334 to 656 of the family's 1533-position model. The record is from RNAcentral.
UUUGCCUACGGGGGGCAGCAGUGGGGAAUAUUGCACAAUGGGGGAAACCCUGAUGCAGCGACGCCGCGUGAAGGACGAAGUAUUUCGGUACGUAAACUUCUAUCAGCAGGGAAGAAAAUGACGGUACCUGACCAAGAAGCCCCGGCUAACUACGUGCCAGCAGCCGCGGUAAUACGUAGGGGGCAAGCGUUAUCCGGAUUUACUGGGUGUAAAGGGAGCGUAGACGGCCAUGCAAGUCUGAUGUGAAAACCCGGGGCUCAACCCCGGGACUGCAUUGGAAACUGUGCGGCUGGCGUGUCGGGGAG